This 484-nucleotide ribosomal RNA is filed under the name uncultured bacterium. RNAcentral describes it as "partial 16S ribosomal RNA". It matches the Rfam family "Bacterial small subunit ribosomal RNA", at positions 30 to 507 of the family's 1533-position model. The record is from RNAcentral.
AUUGAACGCUGGCGGCAGGCCUAACACAUGCAAGUCGAGCGGUUGAAGGGAGCUUGCUCCUGGAUUCAGCGGCGGACGGGUGAGUAAUGCCUAGGAAUCUGCCUGGUAGUUGGGAAUAACGUCCGGAAACGGGCGCUAAUACCGCAUACGUCCUGUGGGAGAAAGUGGGGGAUCUUCGGACCUCACGCUAUCAGAUGAGCCUACGUGGGAUUAGCUAGUUGGUGGGGUAAAGGCCUACCAAGGCGACGAUCCGUAACUGGUCUGAGAGGAUGAUCAGUCACACUGGAACUGAGACACGGUCCAGACUCCUACGGGAGGCAGCAGUGGGGAAUAUUGGACAAUGGGCGAAAGCCUGAUCCAGCCAUGCCGCGUGUGUGAAGAAGGUCUUCGGAUUGUAAAGCACUUUAAGUUGGGAGAAAGGGCAGUAAGUUAAUACCUUGCUGUUUUGACGUUACCAACAGAAUAAGCACCGGCUAACUUCGUG